This 504-nucleotide ribosomal RNA is filed under the name uncultured bacterium. RNAcentral's name for it is "bacterial SSU rRNA". It matches the Rfam family "Bacterial small subunit ribosomal RNA", at positions 19 to 518 of the family's 1533-position model. The record is from RNAcentral.
CUGGCUCAGGACGAACGCUGGCGGCGUGCUUAACACAUGCAAGUCGAACGAGGAUAUGCGAGCGGAGAGCUUCGGCAGGAAGUUGCAUAUUCGAGUGGCGGACGGGUGAGUAACGCGUGAACAAUCUGUCCCAGACGAGGGGGAUAACACUUGGAAACAGGUGCUAAUACCGCAUAAGACCACGGUAUCGCAUGGUACGAAGGGGUAAAAGGAGCAAUCCGGGUUUGGGUGAGUCGCGUCCGAUAGCCAGUUGGGGGGUAACGGCCCACCAAAGCGACGAUCGGUAGCCGACCUGAGAGGGUGAUCGGCCACAUUGGAACUGGGAGACGGUCCAAACUCCUACGGGAGGCAGCAGUGGGGAAUAUUGGGCAAUGGGCGAAAGCCUGACCCAGCAACGCCGCGUGAGUGAAGAAGGCCUUCGGGUUGUAAAGCUCUGUUACAGGUGACGAAGGAAGUGACGGUAGCUUGUAAGGAAGCCCCGGCUAACUACGUGCCAGCCGCUGC